This is a long non-coding RNA of Macadamia integrifolia, 1509 nucleotides long. RefSeq lists it as uncharacterized. NCBI's taxonomy places the organism in Eukaryota, Viridiplantae, Streptophyta, Magnoliopsida, Proteales, Proteaceae. The record is from RefSeq and is a predicted model, not a curated record. The transcript has 5 exons.
GACUCUGAGUUUCAAACAAAUCCAACCUCAGCCUUGCGAUCGCGAUUGAAGGCUUCCAAUCGCAUUGGACAACCCUGGCCUAGGGUUUCGAUGAAGCACAGGGCGGUGGCGUUAAUGGGGUUGCAGCUGUGGCCGGUCUUAGAGAAGAUGACCGCUGCCACUACUCCAAAACAUCUCGACGAAGCUCGACCACAAUAGGAAGGAGAAAAUUAAAUGAAAUCAAUUAGCGAACAGAGAUGAGUUCGGUAAGCAUCUCUGUUUCCACGAUUGCCCGGGUUCACCGUCAUUCCUUUGUUAGUCACCAGUGAUCUGACUCUCGUGGGCCGUGUUCGAUAGUCAUUUGUUUACAAAGCAAGAAAGGAAUCCCAUAGCGAUAUAAAAAUGACAAGUCAUAGGCUAAGUGUGGGAGGGAACGGUGACUCAUGCAAUUGGACGCACCGUCAUUCCCCACUUCUCUCGCUCUGAGCAAUUCUCCUUCAAGCCCUCCUAGUUUUCUGCAAUCCUACCAAUCGUUCCCAUCUUGCUUCAAUGUCAAAUAUGAUCUAAGCUUAGACUUUCAGUUUGUACAAUUCCUUCAAUGUUGAGCUCGGGAUCUUAAGGGAAUUCGGGAUUUAGGCUCUGAUUCGAGUCCUCUCUGCUGUCAAGGGCCUUGAAUCAUGUAAGCUCCACUGGCCCGUACAUGAUCUAUAUGGGUUUAUGAUCUCAACACUCUUUGAGGAAUCCCUGAUCCAAUUCCAUCGUAAUUCAGUUGGGACCCCAACAGCUCAGAUAAAGGUCAGGGUCAAUCAGGGCGGUGAAGUGAACACUGAACUCUCAUUCUUAAGAGAGGAGAAGACCUAUGAACACGACCUUGCAAUAAUUCUGCGGCAGCAGCACUGAUAACUCAUGGAAUUAGCUUGGUGCUUUAUUCUAAUGGAGAAGAGGGGUUGGAGGAAGAGGAGAGGAGGAGAUGAGAGGGAUUAUGGUGGUUGAUGGUGAAGGAAGAAGAGAGAAGAAAAAGGGUUGGAGUGGUCAGAGAUGCGUCACCGACAGUUGCAACUCAACGCCGGAGAGUGCUCGAACUAAGAAGAUGAGCGUGCUUCGAUUUGGUUCUAUUAUCUUGAAGAAGGAUGGUCCUGAAAUCUCACAUAAUAGGGUAGUUUAGGGAUUAUAAAAAGUAAGGUAAGACUGACGUCACCACUUAAUGGCACUUUCUCACGAACAGGGACAAUUGAUAGGAUUUUUCAGAUUGAGGGGAGGGGAGGGAUUUUUUCCAAAGAGUCUGGGGAAGCAUGAUAUCUCGUACAAGGGAGGGGGUGAUAAUUUCUUAUUAAUAAAUAUUGGUUUUUAGUUUGGCUUUGGCGCAUAUCUUAAAAAUUAGGUUUUUAUAUCUGACCCAAUAUAUACAGAAAUUUGAUUGUUCGUUUCCCCUAUUGGGAGCUAAACCUCACUGAAUAUUUGACACCCCAACUCUUGUUAAACAUUAAUUAACAAAAAAAUAUAAUAAAUACAUAUUAAUAUCUUACUUUA